RNAcentral lists this ribosomal RNA (513 nucleotides) under uncultured bacterium. RNAcentral's name for it is "partial 16S ribosomal RNA". It matches the Rfam family "Bacterial small subunit ribosomal RNA", at positions 28 to 523 of the family's 1533-position model. The record is from RNAcentral.
GACGAACGCUGGCGGCAUGCCUAAUACAUGCAAGUCGAGCGAACAGAUGAAGUGCUUGCACUUCUGACGUUAGCGGCGAACGGGUGAGUAACACGUAAGGAAUCUACCUAUAAGCGGGGGAUAACAUUCGGAAACGGGUGCUAAUACCGCAUAAUAUCUUCUUCCGCAUGGAAGAAGAUUGAAAGACGGCUCUGCUGUCACUUAUAGAUGACCUUGCGGUGCAUUAGUUAGUUGGUGGGGUAAUGGCCUACCAAGACGAUGAUGCAUAGCCGACCUGAGAGGGUGCUCGGCCACAUUGGGACUGAGACACGGCCCAAACUACUACGGGAGGCAGCAGUAGGGAAUCUUCCGCAAUGGGCGAAAGCCUGACGGAGCAAUGCCGCGUGAGUGAAGAAGGCCUUCGGGUCGUAAAACUCUGUUAUAAGAGAAGAACAAAUUGUAGAGUAACUGCUACAGUCUUGACGGUAUCUUAUCAGAAAGCCACGGCUAACUACGUGCCAGCCGCCGCGGUAA